CAGCAGCCGCGGUAAUACGAAGGGUGCAAGCGUUACUCGGAAUUACUGGGCGUAAAGCGUGCGUAGGUGGUGGUUUAAGUCCGUUGUGAAAGCCCUGGGCUCAACCUGGGAAUUGCAGUGGAUACUGGGUCACUAGAGUGUGGUAGAGGAUAGUGGAAUUUCCGGUGUAGCAGUGAAAUGCGUAGAGAUCGGAAGGAACAUCUGUGGCGAAGGCGACUAUCUGGGCCAACACUGACACUGAGGCACGAAAGCGUGGGGAGCAAACAGGAUUAGAUACCCGGGUAGUCCCUGUCUCUUAUAA
This 301-nucleotide ribosomal RNA is filed under the name uncultured bacterium. RNAcentral describes it as "partial 16S ribosomal RNA". It matches the Rfam family "Bacterial small subunit ribosomal RNA", at positions 509 to 809 of the family's 1533-position model. The record is from RNAcentral.